AGCGAACGCUGGCGGCAGGCUUAACACAUGCAAGUCGAGCGGGCCUUUCGGGGUCAGCGGCGGACGGGUGAGUAACGCGUGGGAACGUGCCCUCUGGUUCGGAAUAACUCAGGGAAACUUGAGCUAAUGCCGGAUACGCCCUUUUGGGGAAAGGCUUGCUGCCGGAGGAUCGGCCCGCGUCUGAUUAGCUAGUUGGUGAGGUAACGGCUCACCAAGGCGACGAUCAGUAGCUGGUCUGAGAGGAUGAUCAGCCACACUGGGACUGAGACACGGCCCAGACUCCUACGGGAGGCAGCAGUGGGGAAUAUUGGACAAUGGGCGCAAGCCUGAUCCAGCCAUGCCGCGUGAGUGAUGAAGGCCUUAGGGUUGUAAAGCUCUUUUAUCCGGGACGAUAAUGACGGUACCGGAGGAAUAAGCCCCGGCUAACUUCGUG
RNAcentral lists this ribosomal RNA (433 nucleotides) under uncultured bacterium. RNAcentral's name for it is "partial 16S ribosomal RNA". It matches the Rfam family "Bacterial small subunit ribosomal RNA", at positions 29 to 507 of the family's 1533-position model. The record is from RNAcentral.